AACGUCUAGAAUCCCUUUCAUUGGUCCAUUAGCGGCUUUCCUGAAGGCCUCGUUCACCUCCUCUGCCGUUAUACCUUUCUUCUCGACGUUUAUAACAAGGUCAACCACUGAGACGUUUGGUGUUGGCACACGGAGUGCAAUGCCGUUGAGUUUACCCUUCAACUGCGGUAGUACUAGUGACACAGCCUUGGCUGCUCCUGUGCUGGUUGGCACUAUGUUCAGUGCUGCGGCUCUUGCACGCCUUAGGUCCCUGUGUGAUGCAUCUAGAAGCCUCUGCAACAAUUCAUUAUAUGUUACUAUUGGUUCAAGGAAAUGUAAUUAGUCAAAACUCACACUAACAUUUCAAUAAUUUGUUAUAC
RNAcentral lists this long non-coding RNA (359 nucleotides) under Capsella grandiflora. Its description in RNAcentral is "long non-coding RNA (CGRA_LNC000853)". Lineage: Eukaryota; Viridiplantae; Streptophyta; Magnoliopsida; Brassicales; Brassicaceae. The record is from RNAcentral.